This 250-nucleotide ribosomal RNA is filed under the name uncultured bacterium. RNAcentral's name for it is "partial 16S ribosomal RNA". It matches the Rfam family "Bacterial small subunit ribosomal RNA", at positions 525 to 774 of the family's 1533-position model. The record is from RNAcentral.
ACGGAGGGGGUUAGCGUUGUUCGGAUUUACUGGGCGUAAAGCGCGCGUAGGCGGAUCAGAAAGUUGGGGGUGAAAUCCCGGGGCUCAACCCCGGAAUUGCCUUCAAAACUCCUGGUCUUGAGUUCGAGAGAGGUGAGUGGAAUUCCGAGUGUAGAGGUGAAAUUCGUAGAUAUUCGGAGGAACACCAGUGGCGAAGGCGGCUCACUGGCUCGAAACUGACGCUGAGGUGCGAAAGCGUGGGGAGCAAACA